UAGUCCACGCCGUAAACGAUGUCUACUCGGAGUUUGGUGCCUUGAGCACUGGGCUCCCAAGCUAACGCAUUAAGUAGACCGCCUGGGGAGUACGGCCGCAAGGUUAAAACUCAAAUGAAUUGACGGGGCCCGCACAAGCGGUGGAGCAUGUGGUUUAAUUCGAUGCAACGCGAAGAACCUUACCAGCCCUUGACAUCCUGGGAAUCUCUAAGAGAUUAGAGAGUGCCUUCGGGAAUCCAGAGACAGGUGCUGCAUGGCUGUCGUCAGCUCGUGUCGUGAGAUGUUGGGUUAAGUCCCGCAACGAGCGCAACCCUUGUCCUUAGUUGCCAGCACGUAAUGGUGGGAACUCUAAGGAGACUGCCGGUGAUAAACCGGGAGGAAGGUGGGGAUGACGUCAAGUCAUCAUGGGCCCUUAUGGGGCU
Molecule: ribosomal RNA, 422 nt
Filed under: uncultured bacterium
Lineage: Bacteria
Description: bacterial SSU rRNA
Rfam family: Bacterial small subunit ribosomal RNA
Source: RNAcentral